Non-coding RNA from Peromyscus maniculatus bairdii (prairie deer mouse), 1457 nucleotides. The record is from RefSeq and is a predicted model, not a curated record. Lineage: Eukaryota; Metazoa; Chordata; Mammalia; Rodentia; Cricetidae.
AUGAGGUCGAUUAAUAACCCUACGGUGGCCUCCAAAUGCUCAAGGGAAAGGAAAAGCCACACGUCUGUCACUUCGAAUCAAAAGCGAGGGAUGAUUAGGCUUAGCGGGGGAAAGCGUACUGACAGUUCAGAUAGACCGAAAGCCGGGCCUCUUAUGCAAACGAUCUAGUUAUGGGUGCAGAGGAAGAGUUUUUGAAGGAAAUUUAGGAUGCUUCUCCAGUAAACGUGGCAAUGAUGAGAAAGUGGGGCAGGCUUCUUGCUGAUGGGUGGAAGCUUUAGUGGUCUGGGUGGGAGGCUAAACCCUCCAGAACGUUCCCUCAGUUUUCAAGCCUAAUCCAGAUCAAAGCCCUCUUUUCAGUUCCAUGAAGGCUGGGAGAGGUCAGGAAGCCGUAGAAGAAAACGCUGCCUUGUGAGCUUGAAGCGAAGACACUGUCUUCAAACCUAACUGUGCAAGACAAGACAGGAAGCCAAAGGGGAAGCUCCGGCAGGCUCUCAGGAAGUUCCAGCUGAGAGCACGGGAUGCUGUGGCCAUACCACACCUCAGCAUUUUGGGAUUAUGCUCAAGCAACAUUAAUCUAAUUUAAAAAAUCUCUGAGACAGGGGCUUCCUAUGUAACAUAGGCUGGUCUCAAACCUGGAAUCCUCCCGACUCACUCUCCCAAGCUCUAGGAUUACAGGCUGGGGGCUAUCUAUGGCAGACAUUCCGUCCUCACUAUUUUCAGAGGACCCGCCGUCAGCACCAUGCCUGGCACACUGCAAGCAUUGAUGGAACAGCUACUACAUGCUGGGUCCUGCCCUCAGUGCUACUCUCCAAUGAGUUCUCAACCCAAGGGAUGCACGUGUCCUACUUUCAUGGACUGCUGAGUUUGAUGGAUGAGAAGAACACGAACAAAUGCUUAUUCAAAUAGAAACUGAAUGCACUGUGCUAAAUGUGACCAAAACUGAGGACCCCCCAGGGGAGCCAGCCCUGUUAUCAGGACACCCUGGCAGCUUCCAGAAAGACUCGUGGUGAGAAACAGCAGUCUCCAGCCAGCAGCCACAAGGGAAUUUAGGAUGAGUCCUCCAGCCUUGUGGUGGCUGCAGCCUACUCUGUGGCCUGACCAUGACAUCCUAAGAGACCCUCAGCCACACAAUCAGCUUCAGCUUAAGCCAUCCCAGGAUGCUGACUUCAGAACCAUGAUGAUCCUGGGGGCCCCCCAAAAGUCCCCAUGGAGACCAAAUCCCACGUGUAACGGCAAAGGGCCUUUAUUUUCAAGCUCUGAGAUUAGUCUCUCUGUCCAACACAGCGGCUCAAGGGAUCCUUUUCUCUCAGCCUCCACCACACUGAGACUGUCAGCCUGCUCCUGUUCGGUUCCUGGAGGUGAAAUGUCAAGCUGCCUAUUUGAGAUUUUCCUUCUCUUGCAAUGUCUAUUGGUCCAUGAAUAAGAGCCUGGGUAACAAUAAACUACCCCUGCCUCAA